This 771-nucleotide ribosomal RNA is filed under the name Campanula poscharskyana. RNAcentral's name for it is "eukaryotic LSU rRNA". The stretch from base 283 to 438 matches the Rfam family "5.8S ribosomal RNA". The record is from RNAcentral. Lineage: Eukaryota; Viridiplantae; Streptophyta; Magnoliopsida; Asterales; Campanulaceae.
UGUCGAACCCUGCAUAGCAGAACAACCCGUGAACACGUUGAAAAACACAUAUGAGGGGGAUGUCUGUACGGGACAAGGCGACAGCCCCCUGUGCAUGCGGCCCCUUACUUGUGGUGUCUGAGCGAGCGAGCGAAAGCGAGUGAGCUUUGGCCCCCCAAGAAACUAACCCCGGCGCAAUUCGCGCCAAGGAAAACUUUAAACUCAAGGGUGUGCUAUCUCCAUGUUGCCCCCGUUCGYGGGUGCGCGACUGGUGUCUGGCCGCUCCUUAGUGAAAACACAAACGACUCUCGGCAACGGAUAUCUUGGCUCUCGCAUCGAUGAAGAACGUAGCGAAAUGCGAUACUUGGUGUGAAUUGCAGAAUCCCGUGAACCAUCSAGUCUUUGAACGCAAGUUGCGCCCGAAGCCUUUAGGCCGAGGGCACGUCUGCAUGGGCGUCACGCAUCGCGUCGCCCCACCAAGCAGCUUUCUUGCUUGGUUGGGAGCGUACAUUGGCUUCCCGUGCCUCGUCGUGCGGCUGGCUCAAAAUAGAGUCCCCAUUAGAGGACGCAAGACAAGUGGUGGUUGAUAAUAAGGCCCUCGCGUUAUGUCUUGUGAGAAUCCUUUGUGGGAUUUGGCUCGUUAAUUAAAGACCCUGAYGACGCGCCUUCACAAUCACACCCUAGCGGUGGUUGCUAGUGAAGACGUGCUCCGACCGCGACCCCAUGUCAGGCGGGACUACCCGCUGAAUUUAAGCAUAUCAAUAAGCGGAGGAAAAGAAACUUACAUGAUCU